UAUUGUUAUGCUAGACUUGAACAUUGAAAUUUGUAUUUACUCAAGAAUACUCUAAAUUGGGUAGUUGGUGAACUCCGACACAAAAUCAACAUUGUAUUUUACCAGUCUAUCUAAGAUGCAAUUCCAUUGAUUGCAAAACGUCAUGACGUCACUGCAGUGUUUUGAUUACUGCGAUCGUUUUGAAGUGUUUGGUGUUGGUUUAAUUUUUGCGCUGUUUUUUCCCUUUUUUCCCCCAUUAGGGUCGUUGCCUUGCUCGUUGCAGCUUUGUCCAAAGUGAAGAUAGUGCCGAUUAGGGAGCUCCACGAAGUAGGUUCCGGAAAACCGAAAUGCUCCUGCGCGGGCUGUGUCUGAACCAGGGUUUCACCGCUUGAUUAAGGUGCAGACGAGCCAAAGCAGUUGUUUAUUCAGUCGGAAGUGCUGGGAAACUGUCGCAAAAAGGUAUAGUUGUUGACUGACCGAUUUUGGAAUCGCCCAUAUUUUUGCUAGUUCCGGCCAACGUGACGAGCGAUCCCAUGAAGGAGGUGGUGGCUUCAACGGCAAAAAAGCAAAUAAGAAAACGUCGAGCCGACUUUGCCCAUAGAAGAUGCAAACGUGCACCAGAGCUGGAACCGGUGGCUACUUUUACACUAGGGACGGAGUUUAAUCACAACGUCACGUGCUGCCAAGGAAGUGCGGACGGGGCAACGCUUCAGGUGAUUAGUGGUGACUAUGUGACGAGCUUGUGCAGGGUUUCGACGUUUCACGGCCGGCGGUGAUUGAAACAACAGCAACGGCAGCAUAACCAUAUCGAGAGCAUCGACCAGUGACAUCGUGUCGGCUGAUGACAACAUACAAAUAAUCUAUUCGACUCCACCGAGACAGAACCCAGGGAGACUUCUGCUCCUGGACUGAGUAACGACCUAAACAAUAGGUUAAACCGGGGCCAAAAUUUACUUCCCCGUCCGAUGGAAGGCGUGAUCAGACAAAUCUCGUCUCUUAAAAUGCCACCGGGACGUUCUGGAAUCGAACUCAGGCCGGGUGAGAGGAAUCCACGCUUACCCCUACACCACGAGUCCCGGAAUAAAAACUUUCUAAACGAGUCUAAAAUUUAGACGAU
Culex quinquefasciatus (southern house mosquito) is the source of this 1096-nucleotide long non-coding RNA. RefSeq lists it as uncharacterized. The transcript is spliced from 4 exons. Lineage: Eukaryota; Metazoa; Arthropoda; Insecta; Diptera; Culicidae. The record is from RefSeq and is a predicted model, not a curated record.